UACGUAGGGUGCAAGCGUUGUCCGGAAUUAUUGGGCGUAAAGAGCUCGUAGGCGGUCUGUUGCGUCGGCUGUGAAAACCCGAGGCUCAACCUCGGGCCUGCAGCCGAUACGGGCAGACUAGAGUUCGGCAGGGGAGACUGGAAUUCCUGGUGUAGCGGUGAAAUGCGCAGAUAUCAGGAGGAACACCGGUGGCGAAGGCGGCAUCCCGUGGAC
Molecule: ribosomal RNA, 213 nt
Filed under: uncultured bacterium
Lineage: Bacteria
Description: partial 16S ribosomal RNA
Rfam family: Bacterial small subunit ribosomal RNA
Source: RNAcentral